RNAcentral lists this ribosomal RNA (253 nucleotides) under uncultured bacterium. RNAcentral's name for it is "partial 16S ribosomal RNA". It matches the Rfam family "Bacterial small subunit ribosomal RNA", at positions 524 to 776 of the family's 1533-position model. The record is from RNAcentral.
UACGAAGGGUGCAAACGUUGCUCGGAAUUAUUGGGCGUAAAGCGCACGUAGGCGGCUUAGCAAGUCGGAAGUGAAAUCCCACGGCUCAACCAUGGAAGUGCUUUCGAAACUGCUGAGCUUGAGUACUUAAGAGGAUCGCGGAAUUCCCGGUGUAGAGGUGAAAUGCGUAGAUAUCCGGAGGAACACCGGUGGCGAAGGCGGCUUCCUGGACCGACACUGACGCUGAGGCGCGAAAGCUAGGGGAGCAAACGGG